UCUAUAAAACCGUUUAUGAAUGGAUUGAAGGUUACCGGCCCUGUGAGUGUGGAACCAGACGUAUUGUGGAAUGGGAAUUGCGUAUUCUGUUUUAGAAUAGACGGACGAUGUUUUUAAAGGAAAUGUUACCAAGAAAGAGGGAACCCUUUGCCAGCCAUUGUUUAAUUUAAAGAAACCAGAAGGACCUGCCCAUACUGAGAGUGACAUUGGGUGGGGGCUUGUCCCAUCAAGCCAAGGUUUCAUCUUUCCCUCUCACUCCUACUCUAACAGGAAAUGAGCCCGGAUCGUAGCAAAUGGCCAUCCACCAUGGAGUCAUGCGCCAAAUGAGUAUCCUUUGAGAAUUUUGUUUGCUUCUGCCUGUAACCGUUUAUUAAAAUCUGCGCAAAGGCCAGCGAUUCCCAUAAACUGGAGCUAAAUCAUUGGGAAAAGCCCAACAGUAAAGACUUCUAUUGUGUGCAAGCAGAAUAUGUUACUGCAUCGUGCUCUAACAUACAUAAAAUACUCCUCUCCGUAUCCUUUUUUGGAAAAGGCGCACAUUAGGAGGAACUUAUAUUUCCUAAGGAUCUCCUAAUGUCGGUCGUAAAUCAGCAGAGGAAAGCUUUCACUGCCUAGAAGCAUUUCUACCUGUCGUAACAUAUCGAAAAAAUGUGCAUGAAACAUCAGUCAUGGUGUAGCGUUAUGCAUAAUUCAAAGACCUUAUCUCUGAGGAAGAUAGGUUUGGCAAAUUCAUAAGUGUCCAUACGACUGCCUCUGUGCUGUAAGUGAGAUUUAGCUCCUGUAAUGAUAUAAUUCAAAUCUUUGCAGAACAAUGUCUACCCAUUAAAAAAUGCCAACAGAAACCCUCCCCUAACUACCAGCCCCUCUCCUCGUUGUCAGUCUUCCAGAGAUCUCUGGGAAAUGUCAGCGAGCUGCUAAUUGGGUCCCUGUAAAGAACACAGCCACAGAAUGUUCUAGCAUGUUUCCAGUGCAGAGCUCCUCACACAGACGUGAUCCCUCCAAGCAUGCAGUGUACAUUCUCCAGUGUUCUGAGACACUGUACAUGAACCUGAAAAGCAAAGUUUCACUUUCCCUUGAGAAGUCCAAGUUGUACCUGUGUACUUGUCUACCCUCAGCACAGGAAGUGUUAAACAAAGAACCGGUGUGCAAAAGCCCAGCCAAAAGAAACCAUGGUACCAUCGGCUUGCAGUGAUACCAUCAGCCUGUCCCACCUUUGCAUUACAUAAGAAAAAAUGGACUCAAAAGAGAACUAUUCGGGAACUGCUUGAUAUAACGGCCGAAACAUCAGUAUAGGAGGCUGAAUCCGGAUCCUGGACCCGUCCCGUGUCCGCAUCUUAUCUCUAGCUUGGAGCCCUGUAGUCAGAUUUCAGCCUCGCUGUCUCCUCCUCGGUCCGCCAUUUCGCAAAACCGGCAGAACGCCAUUCGCGGGUCCUGUCAUGGAGGAACAACAAAUGGUCUUUGUUACAGUGUUAAUAUGCAGACUCAAAUGGCGUAAGUCUGCCUGUGCUGUUUUCAGACGGUGGCGCCAUUAGCGAUUAUGACAACGAAUGAAACUCCAUUUUGUAUAUGAAGGUUAAAUUCUGUCGCAUGAAGAGCAGAAUGUUUUAUAAUCUUGUACAAUUAUUAAAAUUGCAUUAUAUAGUUAAUAUAACAAAAUCUGAUUCUGAUUAUAUAUUUUAUCUGUAAAGGUUAAAUCAAUAUUUCCUGGUAUUUUGAUGGACAAGCGCAGUUGUUUACAAGUUUUUAAAACGCUUUCAAUUUUAUUUUCAAUUUUCCUCCCAGUACAUUUAAUUCCCCCCAAAUGUAUAUUUUAAAGACAACAUGCCGCCCAGGACGAAAUUAAACAUUUGUUACCAAACUGAAAGGAAUACUUUAUGCAAAGAUGCAUUUACGUUUAAGAUGUUUGAUCGUUUUCGCUGCACAAUUCAGCUGCAUGGUAUGAGAGAAUAAAGCUUUCUGUUACUAAGUUACUUGUCAUUUGAAGGAAGUGUAAUCUAAAAGUACCUAAUUUAAAAAGCGGUUAACGAGUAGAGUACAGUCAUAGAGUGUUAAAAUGAAAAUGUUCUCCAAAAUGUACUUCUGUUAUUUUCGAAUUAAAGCGGUAGAGAUCGAUCCCGGGCUGAUGAGAUACGGUCAAUAAUAAAACACUGUUUAACUCAAAAGCAUACCCUUGCACCUCGGUAAAGUAGGAUACACUGCACUUCUUUCGCCCAAAUCCUGCAAACAUAUACGACCAGUCUAUAGCCUAUUACAUAAGUACAAGCAACAUAUCUUAAUUCUCACUUUACCGUAAGUCAUUAAUCAAUACUGUGUUAACCUGAAAUUGCGUAUGUUCAUAAUAAAGGUAACUGGAUUCUUGAUAUUCUACAUUGUAACGCUUAGAAGGCAAUUUGUUUGCACUGAUAUGUGAAAAUGUAUCAAAGUUGUACGAAUGUAUGAAGUCGUAUCGCCAAUAUAUACCGAGAAAAAAGCAAAACUUACAGCCGGAGUGGGGGCAUUUUAUGUUGUUGUUU
Brienomyrus brachyistius is the source of this 2510-nucleotide long non-coding RNA. RefSeq lists it as uncharacterized. NCBI's taxonomy places the organism in Eukaryota, Metazoa, Chordata, Actinopteri, Osteoglossiformes, Mormyridae. The record is from RefSeq and is a predicted model, not a curated record. The transcript has 3 exons.